Molecule: long non-coding RNA, 5542 nt
Filed under: Nicotiana benthamiana
Lineage: Eukaryota; Viridiplantae; Streptophyta; Magnoliopsida; Solanales; Solanaceae
Description: long non-coding RNA (NBEN_LNC031947)
Source: RNAcentral
GAAAAUGAUAAGUUUGCCAACUUUCGAACUUGACCCUGUUCUUCUCGAAACUUCAAUAACUUUGUUCUAGUUGGACGGAACUUUCCUUGGAGAUCUGGACACCCUAAGUAACCUCUGUUUGUUUACCCGAGUUCUCCUUUCUGAUGUUGUUCACGUUUUCCAUUUUAGUCUUGUUCUUGUUAAUGAUAGGACUUGGACGAGGAGGAGGUGGAGGGCCCUUGGAUCUCGUAGAGUAUGAUGAUUAUGUCAGAGUGCAGGAAUUAACCUUUAGGGGGGAAUAAAAGAAAAAUAAAAAGGUAAUAAGUCACUGCAGGUUAUGAAAAGAAAAUAUUGCAAUAUUUAAACAUAUUGUGCAAGAAUAUAAAUCGUGUCCUAAUUUGGAUGCCUCGUUGUUCCCAAGGUAGGCCUAGAAACAAGUUAAUUUUGAGAACUUAUAAUGUUAAAUGCCUCAUUUUAUUGAUAAAAAUAAGGCGAAUCCCAAAACGACACUAAAAUUGCAGAAAAAAAUAAAAUGUCACUAAUGACCAUUGGCCUUAUUGCAUCAUUAAAGCAAAAGAAAGGACUCCUAACUACUUGGUACCAUAAGGACCUUUUUCAGGUUAAAUGUUCUCGUUGAUCAGAUCCUCCAGCUCCCGCAGAUUUUCCAGUAAAAAUGCCUUUGCCAGGUGUUCUCCUUCGCUUCCCUUAGAGUUUUGACAGCCGGCUACUCUUUUCCUCACUUUCGCUUCAGAUUCCAGCAAGCUAUACUCCAGGUAUUCUAGCAUCUCACUAGCCUUAGUGACUCUCUCUUUACAUUCGUUGAAUUUGUUGCUCAAUGGGAGGUUUCUCCACUAAGUCUGCAAGAGUGAAGGUAUGUUGACCAUAUUGAAGUUAGGAAAUUUGUCCCAUUUCUGCAAAACAAAAGGGUAAGGCCCUUACCCUCGCCAGAAUCGACUAUUUAAACCAAUGGUUCGCAUAAGCGGUACUUAGUUCUCCAAAUAAAUGCACACACGUGGUAGUGUCCGUUUGGGUUCCAAAAAAACCAGUGGACUUUAGACAAGCUAUCUUAAAGAGUCGUUAUCUGGACAACAUAACUGACUCGGCUAGGUUUGACCAUGAUGCAUGCACAGUUAAACAGAGUAAGGUUUAUAUGGGGUAUUAGACCGGUACCCUUGAGCGGACAACUCAAUAGCGAAAGGCACGAAACACUCGACUGCACUGCUGAUCGACUGGUUGUACCGCAAAUAUUCCUUUGCCAAAUUUAGGGGGUGAUAAUAUUGGAAGAGUGCAACCACUAAUUAUAAGCGUUGCUAUGGUAUUUGUUUGGCACGAGUGAAAUAUUAUGUUGAAGACGCAAUUACAAGAAUGAAACAGAUUGCCACGUAUUUCCACGUUCAUAAGAUAAUGAUUACAAUGAUUUCUCAUAAUUACAACAGUAUUGAAGUGAAGCAGUAAAAGAAAGCAUUAAGGAAAGAAAAGACACAAAGAGCCAAGUUAGUUUCACAGUAGAGGAAAUAAAGACAGUAAGUAAAUGCAAUUAAAGAGGCAAUAAAGUUACAAGUAGCAUCCAAUGGUAAAAGCCCAAAGAAAUCCCCAGUAGAGUCGACAUGCUGUCGACACCCCCUUUUUCUAAGGUGAAAUUGGGUUCAUGCAUUUGGGAGGACAACUCUAUACCUUUGCGAGAAUUGGGUUUCGGAGUUGGAGAGUUGCCACCUAAUAAUUAUGGUGCAUUAGGACACUUUAAGAAGGGUUUGAGAUGAAUAAAUCAGAGUUUAAGUAAGGGCUAGAAAUUAUCUCGAGGGGAAGGUGUUAGGCACCCCUCAAGAUCCACUAGUGUGGUCCCAGCCAUGUUACAGUUAUGACUUUAUAUAAAUACAUAAACACUUAAGGCUCAAAUAAGAAUUUGCAUAUAAUAUUUCAAUAAGUUGAAAAUUUGAAAGAUAUGCGAAGAGGACAAAAUUUUAUGAAGAAGAAAAAUUUAAAGAGUAAGAAAAGAUAAAAGCAGAUAAAGGAAGAGGGGUCCUAGGUUUAUGAUUAAUAUGGAUCACAUCAAUGCAAUAUCCAGUAAUCACUCCUCCAAAGAGGGGUCGCACGUGAUAUUAGUGCACCGGUCAUCAUAUCCAUAUUCUACCCUUUCUACCCCUUAAGGUAUUAAAGCGUGGAAUAAUGUCGUUACUUAUUGCAUGCUACUACCCGUCCCAAUCCUAUCAGUCCCGGAGGCAUUUGGGACUUCUAGUCCAAUCAAGGGGAGGAGUUUUGGGCUUUUCGAGAGUUUAAAAGGUUAAGAUUCUAAGGCGUCAAACAAAACAUAUAAGACAGUUAUAGAGUGCACACAACAGUUAAGGCUCAAAUAGACCUCCUUUAAAUCACAGAAAACAUGCAGUCUAGCAUGCCUUACAUGUACUGAUUAGGUCUGAAUUAAACUUAAAUGUUAGGCAAGCUGAUUUAUCACAUAUUUCUCAAAUGUGAAGUCCGAAUAAGGACUCUCUUGGUUGUAAUUGUCGAAGACUGAUUUAGUUAGUUAAUUACCUACUCGUUUGUCUAAGUGAAACUUAUAGGUAUGAUAUCUGAUGGUUUCAGAAAUAAAGAAGUAAACUGAUUACAGAAAGGCUUCUAGGUUUUAACAGAAUAAUACAAGUUCUGCAGUUGAUAAUUACUACUGAUAGAUUGAACUUAAAACGAGUGAGGCGAUUCAGAUUUGGUUAAUAGUCCUUAUAGGCAUGCUUUCAAGGCGUUGUUAAUUUUAAAACAAUUAUGAAAGUGAAGGAGUUCUAUAGACAUGGUAUCUAGGAUGCAAUUGAUUAUUAUUUAACCUACAAAUGUUUGCAUAAUGAUAGAUGCACAAUGCAGAACCUUACGGACAUGGUUUCUAUAUAUGCAUACGUGCAGAAAAUCUGUAGGCAUGAUCUCUAUAUAUGCAAAAGUGCUUAAUCAUGUCGACAAUAUUUCUAUAUGAAAUGCAGAAGUGUAGAAUCCUAUAGACAAGAUUUCUAUAUGAAAUACAGAAGUGAAAAAAAUAGGUUGUGAUUACAGGAAUAAAAUACCUAAUAUCAUAAUGUCUACUCGUAUGCAUACACAGUGACCAUCCCCCUUUCUUUACUAAAACCCCAUAAGUUAUUUCAAAUUAUUAUAGACUAGAGCGAAUUAGAAAAGUAAAUUACAUCAGAAAUUUAAUCUACAACCAAGGAGCCUAAUCCAGACUCAAGGUCUAACAAUAUGAUAUGAAACCACUUCCAGGAUCGGGUUCCAAAGCCUUUCUCUUAUCUGGGAGUAUGUCAAGUUCCAAGGAGUUUCAAAAACUCCAGGAAAUGCUUACACCCGAGUCAUCAUUGCAGAAUUUGAUUAAAGUGCAGUGUGGAAGGGCCAGGCCUCCAAUUUCCAAGUUCAGAGGGAACUCAAGGUCCCAAAACAAGGCUCAUAUGAGGGGGCAGAACUUAGAAUCUAAGAGUAGGUGUAAGUGAAAUAGAGGGGAUUAGGGAAUGCCAAGGCAGGCUGGUGGUCAUACCCAGCAACAUGGAAUGCUAGCACACCCCUGACCAGUCUGGCAACCAAAAAUUAGAGAGUUAGGACCUAUUGAAGGUCAGGUUCAGCCCUGGACAACAAUUUGGAAGCUGCUAGGCUAUACCUUAACUCAAACACACAUAAGGGAAUAUGGUAUGGGAAAUCGAAAGAGCUUAGGACCCAAAUGAUCCAGUUUAUAUCCAUGUACAAUACCUUUAUAUAUUUCCAUGUUUUAAACUACAGCUCAAACAGAUAAAGGGAUAUGGGGAUGGGAUCCAUUGCAAGACAUAAGCAAGAUAUAAGCACAUUACCACAAAGUUAAAUUCUACAGGCAGUAAAGUAAGCAUGGACAUAAGAACUGGUAAGUAAACACAUUGGAGUUGAUGCUGGAAUCAAAACUAGGACAUACCAGUUUCAGAAAGGGACAAGCAAAAGAAAGAAGAAGUCUUGCAAAUAGGCUAUAGUACAAGCAACACGAGAGAAUAGUUUUGGGUGUAAGUGUGAGUUCAUAAAAAACUAUGAGUUUUGGUGAGUUGUGAUAGUAAAAGAUCAUGUAUUUAUAGUUUGAAAACAUGUAGGGAAUAAGGCAAGGAAAUAAUCAUGUACUAAUUAGAAUCAAUCAGUAGAAGAACUUCCUUUAAUUAAGGAGUUCAAACUUAAACGGCAAUGAGCAAAAAGUAUUUAAGGAAAGAGAUCAAGUAAGGAUUUUGUGCAAAGUAGGCAAUUAGGGGUAAAUACAUAGGAGUUUAAUUAAGGGAAGAAAUUUUGAAAUACAUGGUUAAACAAAUAAGGUGAGAACCAUUCAGUACCCAGUAAAUCAAGGAAUCAGAGAUUUGAAGUUAUUGGUUCAUGAAUAACCAAGUCAGAAAGGCUAAGGAAAAUGUUUUACUUAAGAAGAAUCAGUAGCAAUCAAUUAAACCCCAAAAAAGGAUUCUGAUUCGAACACAAGUUGGAAAACCUUUUGAAGAAAGAUUUUAACACAUAUAAAAGGGGUUGUCAUGCUAAUCAGAGCAUACUAGUAUAGAAGAAUUCUUACACAAAAGAUUCAUACUCAGUACAUGGAUCCAAAGUGAUUUUGAGAGAGUGAAGGAGUCAAAUAGAGUCGUAUAGAAAAAUUCAUACAUAAAAGGAUUCAAACUCGGUACGUGGAUCCAAAGUGAGUUUGAGAGAGUCCAGGAUUCCAAUAGAACUCUAGUCCAAAAACACAAGAGCAAACUCGCCAAAAACCCCAAAUCCUAGGGUUUUCUACUUGAAUCAAAAGAAAAGAAGAGGAAACAAGCAGAUACAGUAGAAGGUUUAAUGCAAACAGAGUCAUGGAAUUAAUUCGAAAAACAAUGAGAGUAGAAGAAACAGUAAGCAGGCAUAGUAAGAACACUUAAUGAACUACAGUAGGCGAAGCAUAUGAAGUCAUAGUGUAAGGCAAGUAGCAGAACAUAGCAUGUGAAAACAUAGCACAGAAAUAACGCAGAAGGAAGAACAAAAUAUAGCAAACAUAGUAGAAGAACAUGUGUAAGAAAAACAUAAGAACAUGAUAGAGACAAACAUACACGAGAAAGGGAGAAGAAAAAUCGAAAAACACAUAAGCAUUUUCAGAAACCCUAAAUCAGAAAGAAGUGACUUCGAAAGAAAAAGGAUUUUAUAAAGAAAAGUUGGGAAACCUUUUAAAAACUCGAAGUAAAGCAUGAAUACACACCGAUCUGAAGAGAAUCGAAGAAAAAUCUUGAAUAUCUGGGGUUUCAGGUGAACCCUAAAACGAGAAAGGCUUCGAAAAUGUCCAAUCUAAGUCGGAUAAGACUGGAAACAGGUUCAAGAGGCUAAGAUAUGCCAGAGCCGAGCCGGAGAUGGCCGGAAACCUCAAGGUAGCGGAGAUCUGGGUGGAGACCUUUGAGUUCUAGCCUCAAACCCUCGAUACCAAGCGCACAAGAGUGACAAGAGGGGAGUAUGAGGAUUUCACGGCCUGAGAAGCCAUGGAAACCGGCGAGAAAGGGAUUAGGGUUAGCUUGGGUGACGGCGACUAGGGUUUGCAGAAAGAAUGGGAGAGGAAGGGAAUUCAAGGGCGGCU